CUGACGAGUCCCAAAUAGGACGAAACGCUCGUC
This 33-nucleotide non-coding RNA is filed under the name Schistosoma margrebowiei. Lineage: Eukaryota; Metazoa; Platyhelminthes; Trematoda; Strigeidida; Schistosomatidae. The record is from RNAcentral.